UGUUUUAGGGGCUCCUGUCUAAAA
Molecule: unclassified non-coding RNA, 24 nt
Filed under: Mus musculus (house mouse)
Lineage: Eukaryota; Metazoa; Chordata; Mammalia; Rodentia; Muridae
Description: oocyte_clustered_small_RNA11696
Source: RNAcentral